Molecule: ribosomal RNA, 253 nt
Filed under: uncultured bacterium
Lineage: Bacteria
Description: partial 16S ribosomal RNA
Rfam family: Bacterial small subunit ribosomal RNA
Source: RNAcentral
UACAGAGGGGGCAAGCGUUAUUCGGAAUUAUUGGGCGUAAAGCGCACGUAGGCGGAUCGAUCAGUCAGGGGUGAAAUCCCAGGGCUCAACCCUGGAACUGCCUUUGAUACUGUCGAUCUGGAGUAUGGAAGAGGUGAGUGGAAUUCCGAGUGUAGAGGUGAAAUUCGUAGAUAUUCGGAGGAACACCAGUGGCGAAGGCGGCUCACUGGUCCAUUACUGACGCUGAGGUGCGAAAGCGUGGGGAGCAAACAGG